GUGCCAGCAGCCGCGGUAAGACAGAGGGUGCAAACGUUGUUCGGAAUUACUGGGCGUAAAGCGCGUGUAGGCGGCAUGACAAGUCGGAUGUGAAAGCCCUGGGCUCAACCCAGGAAGUGCAUUCGAUACUGCCGUGCUAGAGUCCCGGAGAGGGUGGUGGAACUCUCGGUGUAGAGGUGAAAUUCGUAGAUAUCGAGAAGAACACCGGUGGCGAAGGCGGCCACCUGGACGGUGACUGACGCUGAGACGCGAAAGCGUGGGGAGCAAACAGGAUUAGAUACCCUGGUAGUCC
This 292-nucleotide ribosomal RNA is filed under the name uncultured bacterium. RNAcentral describes it as "partial 16S ribosomal RNA". It matches the Rfam family "Bacterial small subunit ribosomal RNA", at positions 505 to 796 of the family's 1533-position model. The record is from RNAcentral.